RNAcentral lists this ribosomal RNA (279 nucleotides) under uncultured bacterium. RNAcentral describes it as "partial 16S ribosomal RNA". It matches the Rfam family "Bacterial small subunit ribosomal RNA", at positions 506 to 784 of the family's 1533-position model. The record is from RNAcentral.
UGCCAGCCGCCGCGGUAAUACGGAGGGGGUUAGCGUUGUUCGGAAUUACUGGGCGUAAAGCGCACGUAGGCGGACUGGAAAGUUGGGGGUGAAAUCCCAGGGCUCAACCCUGGAACUGCCUCCAAAACUAUCAGUCUAGAGUUCGAGAGAGGUGAGUGGAAUUCCGAGUGUAGAGGUGAAAUUCUUAGAUAUUAGGGAGAACACCGGUGGCGAAGGCGGCCCACUGGUCCGGUACUGACGCUGAGGUGCGAAAGCGUGGGGAGCAAACAGGAUUAGAUA